Molecule: ribosomal RNA, 581 nt
Filed under: uncultured bacterium
Lineage: Bacteria
Description: bacterial SSU rRNA
Rfam family: Bacterial small subunit ribosomal RNA
Source: RNAcentral
ACGGGUGAGUAACACGUGAGUAACCUGCCCUUGACUCUGGGAUAAGCCUGGGAAACUGGGUCUAAUACCGGAUACGACCAUCUGGCGCAUGUCAUGGUGGUGGAAAGCUUUUGUGGUUUUGGAUGGACUCGCGGCCUAUCAGCUUGUUGGUGGGGUAAUGGCCUACCAAGGCGACGACGGGUAGCCGGCCUGAGAGGGUGACCGGCCACACUGGGACUGAGACACGGCCCAGACUCCUACGGGAGGCAGCAGUGGGGAAUAUUGCACAAUGGGCGCAAGCCUGAUGCAGCGACGCCGCGUGAGGGAUGACGGCCUUCGGGUUGUAAACCUCUUUCAGUAGGGAAGAAGCCGUAAGGUGACGGUACCUGCAGAAGAAGCGCCGGCUAACUACGUGCCAGCAGCCGCGGUAAUACGUAGGGCGCAAGCGUCAUCCGGAAUUAUUGGGCGUAAAGAGCUCGUAGGCGGUUUGUCGCGUCUGCUGUGAAAGACCGGGGCUCAACUCCGGUUCUGCAGUGGGUACGGGCAGACUAGAGUGCAGUAGGGGAGACUGGAAUUCCUGGUGUAGCGGUGAAAUGCGCAGA